GUCUACGGCCAUGCCACCCUGAACACGCCCGAUCUCGUCUGAUCUCGGAAGCUAAGCAGGGUCGGGCCUGGUUAGUACUUGGAUGGGAGAAUAGGGAAACUUCCAGUAGAGGAGAUG
RNAcentral lists this ribosomal RNA (117 nucleotides) under Erinaceus europaeus (western European hedgehog). Lineage: Eukaryota; Metazoa; Chordata; Mammalia; Eulipotyphla; Erinaceidae. The record is from RNAcentral.